RNAcentral lists this ribosomal RNA (667 nucleotides) under uncultured soil bacterium. RNAcentral describes it as "bacterial SSU rRNA". It matches the Rfam family "Bacterial small subunit ribosomal RNA", at positions 29 to 740 of the family's 1533-position model. The record is from RNAcentral.
ACGAACGCUGGCGGCAGGCCUAACACAUGCAAGUCGAACGCUCGUAGCAAUACGAGAGUGGCAGACGGGUGAGUAACACGUGGGAACCUUCCCUAUGGUUCGGAAUAGCUCAGGGAAACUUGGGGUAAUACCGGAUAAGCCCAUCGGGGGAAAGAUUUAUCGCCAUUGGAUGGGCCCGCGUCGGAUUAGCUAGUUGGUGAGGUAACGGCUCACCAAGGCAACGAUCCGUAGCUGGUCUGAGAGGAUGAUCAGCCACACUGGGACUGAGACACGGCCCAGACUCCUACGGGAGGCAGCAGUGGGGAAUAUUGGACAAUGGGCGCAAGCCUGAUCCAGCCAUGCCGCGUGAGUGACGAAGGUCUUCGGAUUGUAAAACUCUUUUGGCGGGGACGAUAAUGACGGUACCCGCAGAAUAAGCCCCGGCUAACUUCGUGCCAGCAGCCGCGGUAAUACGAAGGGGGCUAGCGUUGUUCGGAAUCACUGGGCGUAAAGCGCACGUAGGCGGAUGUGCCAGUCAGGGGUGAAAUCCCGGAGCUCAACUCCGGAACUGCCUCUGAUACAGCACGUCUUGAGUUCGAGAGAGGUGGGUGGAAUUCCUAGUGUAGAGGUGAAAUUCGUAGAUAUUAGGAAGAACACCGGUGGCGAAGGCGGCCCACUGGCUCGAUAC